AGCUCAGUUGGUAGAGCAAUGGAUUGAAGCUCCAUGUGUCGGCAGUUCGACUCUGUCC
Molecule: transfer RNA, 58 nt
Filed under: Staphylococcus aureus
Lineage: Bacteria; Bacillati; Bacillota; Bacilli; Caryophanales; Staphylococcaceae
Description: tRNA-Phe
Rfam family: tRNA
About the family: Transfer RNA (tRNA) molecules are approximately 80 nucleotides in length.
Source: RNAcentral